GAUGAACGCUAGCUACAGGCUUAACACAUGCAAGUCGAGGGGAAACGACAUCGAAAGCUUGCUUUUGAUGGGCGUCGACCGGCGCACGGGUGAGUAACGCGUAUCCAACCUGCCCAUCACUUGGGAAUAACCUUGCGAAAGUAAGACUAAUACCCAAUGAUAUCCCACGAAGGCAUCGGAAUGGGAUUAAAGAUUUAUCGGUGAUGGAUGGGGAUGCGUCUGAUUAGCUUGUUGGCGGGGUAACGGCCCACCAAGGCAACGAUCAGUAGGGGUUCUGAGAGGAAGGUCCCCCACAUUGGAACUGAGACACGGUCCAAACUCCUACGGGAGGCAGCAGUGAGGAAUAUUGGUCAAUGGGCGAGAGCCUGAACCAGCCAAGUAGCGUGCAGGAAGACGGCCCUAUGGGUUGUAAACUGCUUCUAUAAGGGAAUAAAGUGGGUCACGUGUGACUUUUUGCAUGUACCUUAUGAAUAAGGACCGGCUAAUUCCGUG
RNAcentral lists this ribosomal RNA (492 nucleotides) under uncultured bacterium. RNAcentral's name for it is "partial 16S ribosomal RNA". It matches the Rfam family "Bacterial small subunit ribosomal RNA", at positions 28 to 507 of the family's 1533-position model. The record is from RNAcentral.